Molecule: ribosomal RNA, 433 nt
Filed under: uncultured bacterium
Lineage: Bacteria
Description: partial 16S ribosomal RNA
Rfam family: Bacterial small subunit ribosomal RNA
Source: RNAcentral
AACGAACGCUGGCGGCAUGCCUAACACAUGCAAGUCGAACGAGACCUUCGGGUCUAGUGGCGCACGGGUGCGUAACGCGUGGGAACCUGCCCUUAGGUUCGGAAUAACUCCCCGAAAGGGGUGCUAAUACCGGAUAAUGUCUUCGGACCAAAGAUUUAUCGCCUUUGGAUGUGCCCGCGUUGGAUUAGCUAGUUGGUAGGGUAAAAGCCUACCAAGGCGACGAUCCAUAGCUGGUCUGAGAGGAUGAUCAGCCACACUGGGACUGAGACACGGCCCAGACUCCUACGGGAAGCAGCAGUGGGGAAUAGUGGAAAAUGGGCGAAAGCCUGAUCCAGCAAUGCCGCGUGAGUGAUGAAGGCAUUAGGGUUGUAAAGCUCUUUUACCCGGGAUGAUAAUGACAGUACCGGGAGAAUAAGCUCCGGCUAACUACGUG